This is a non-coding RNA of Sesamum indicum (sesame), 3416 nucleotides long. NCBI's taxonomy places the organism in Eukaryota, Viridiplantae, Streptophyta, Magnoliopsida, Lamiales, Pedaliaceae. The record is from RefSeq and is a predicted model, not a curated record.
UUGCAGUGAUUUUUUCCAGACUGAAGGGUGUGUUUGGGGUUUACAAAAUAUCCGGAUGGGUUUCUGAAGCAUUUCGGCCUCCAACGACUUCCAUCAUUUCUUAUUCACUCCCCAAGAAUCGACCAAUUUUGAAUCCAGAAUGGAGCAGAAUCCAAGACCCAGAACCGUUCUUGAAACACUAGGCGAAGAGAUCAUUAGAAUUGUAACCCCAGUUUCAAUAUGCAUGCUGUCAGUGGUAAUUCUUGUUUCUAUUCUCAAUGGGGAUUCCUCCUCCGCGGGCGACUUACCGAUCACAACCAUGGCCACCAUAGCCUACAAGGAGAGUAGCUCAGACUCCACAUGGGACAAGCUGAAGGGUGCCCUCUUGAAUUCACUCGUCUUUGUUGCUGUUGUCACCGUGGUCACUUUCCUCUUGGUGCUUCUGUUCUACCUCAGAUGCACCAAAUUCUUGAAAUACUAUAUGGGUUUCUCUGCUUUUCUUGUUUUGGGGUUCAUGGGGGGUGAGAUUGCUCUUUUGUUGAUCCAAGAUUUCAGCUUUCCUGUUGACUGCAUUACAUCUGCUAUUCUGUUGUUUAAUUUCACUGUGGUUGGUGUUCUGGCUGUGUUCAUGUCAAAGAUGGCUAUUUUUGUUACACAAGCUUACUUAGUUGUUAUUGGGAUGCUGGUGGCUUAUUGGUUUACUCUUUUGCCUGAAUGGACCACUUGGGUGCUCUUGGUUGCUAUGGCAUUGUAUGAUCUUGCUGCGGUUUUGUUGCCUGGUGGGCCUUUGAGGCUCUUGGUAGAGCUUGCUAUGUCUAGGGAUGAAGAUAUUCCUGCUCUAGUUUAUGAGGCACGGCCCGUCAUUAAUGAUUCUGGACCAAGUGGCGGUGUGGUGCGAAGAAGGGUAUGGAGAGAGGGACGGGGCGAUACGGAUGAAAAUCAAGGGCUUAGCACCAAUACAAGGUCUGGUCUUUCUUCAGAUUCUACUCCAGGGACACAUUUAUCAGUUGGAAUUGGUGAACAUGAGAUGAAUCUUGCUGAUGCAGAAGAGGGUCGCGUUACCGGAGGGGAUUCUGAGCUUACCACUCCUCUUGUUCAACAUAUAAAUGUCCAGAUGAACUCUUCAGAAAAUGCUGUUCCAAGUGAAAAUCUUGUGCUUGAAGGAAUUGGCUUGGGAUCCUCAGGGGCAAUCAAGCUUGGACUAGGUGACUUCAUCUUUUACAGUGUGUUGGUUGGUAGAGCUGCUAUGUAUGACUUCAUGACAGUCUAUGCAUGCUACCUUGCUAUCAUAGCUGGUCUUGGUGUAACUCUUAUGCUCCUAGCAUUUUAUCGGAAGGCUUUGCCUGCUCUUCCUGUAUCUAUCAUGCUAGGAUGGGCACAUGUUAGCUGAAGGGAAAACAUUCUGAAAUUAGAGAACUGGCGAUUCUUCUCAUCCUCGGAAAAGCUUCAUAUCUAUUCUGUUUGUGUCGCUUCCUCUCCAGCUCAAUGGAAGAGAACACAAAAUCAAGAUCCAAUUUUCACUUACUAUCAGACCUUGAUGAAAAGAAAAGAAAAAAUUGGAGACACAGAGGACUACAAGAUUUCCUUGGUUUGGCAAUAUCAUGGUUUGUCAUGGGCAGGAAUCAGGUUUCCAUCAACCAAAAAGAGGCAACGAAGACAAGCGUGAGAAAACUGGUCGUGCAUGACUUCUAACAGAGCAUGUCAAUUAACAAUUCAAAGCUUGGCAGGAUAUAAGUGGAGCUGCUGUGCGUGCUUCAAGCUGUCUUGGCAUAGUGUACCGUCAAGCCCCAACUCCAAGCACCAUAGGAAUUUCCCCCUCUUAUAACAUCUACUGUGUUUUUAAACUGGCUCUCUUCUGUAAACUAUCAUCAUAGUACAUCUGUAGUUUUAUUGAAGAUGAAUUUAUCGCUACAUUGUUGUCUGUUUUCUACUUCUUUACCAUCCAUAGAUCAAAACAAUAUGAGCAAUUGUGAUCUUAUGUUAAAAACUGGAUCUACUUGAGUACAUGCAUGUCAGCUGGAGAUGGAAUUUAAUGAUUGUACAAUCAGCAAAGUACCUUUGUGCAGUUGUAAAAGCUUUUCUGUGAUGAUGGAACAGCACGAAGCUCUCGUUCAGAUUAUAUAUUGAUUGGUUGAUUUCUAGCUUUGGCCCCUCCGUGGACCCUUCAUGAAAACUCAGCACUGUCCUAAUAGCUUUAUGAUUUCAAUGCUAUUGCUGUUAGCUUCUGCACGACGAGGUCAAAAUGUGCUAGGGACCACUGUUAUUGUCCCAACACAGACAGGGUCUUAUGUCUAAACAGUGAAGUAGCUAGAAGGAUUCUCAACCAUUUCCGUAACUUCGGGAUGUUUGUUCUAAGAAAAAAAAGAUAAGUGUUGGCCUUGAUCCACCUCUUAUAACAGAGCUUAGAUGCAUUGGAUUAUGAUCUGGAUAAUAAUUUCUACAUUUGUAUUUUACGUCAGCAAUUUUUCUUGUUUAGCUUGUACAGUUGCUUGAGCCUAUCAGUGAAAAGUUCAUACAUUGAUGUCCAAUAAUUUAACUUUUCUAGUGAUGAUUUGUUGCAGGAGACUAGCUUUUGGUGGGUUAUAUGAUUAGGCAUGAGUUUAUCGAGUUUUCUCUUGAAAUUUAUGUCAGGAAAUGUUGUCUAGGAUGCUGAUUUAAAGAAAUUUAAGCCAUUUAGUACCGCAGAGAAUUUAACAGUUUUUCAAUAUUUGCUGGAGGUAAUGUGUGCUGAAACUCCUAUUGUUGGAAUGAGAAGCAUUCUAUUGUUAUACGAGUUUCAAAUCACUGUUAUAGUUUUGUGGUGUUGACACUGUCUUCUUUAUGGUCAUAUAAGCACAAUCAAGUUCUUAUGUCUAAGUCUUUGUCAAUAUUGAAACUAUAGUCAUCCUUUUGAAUUUCUUCCUUUUACAUAAAAGGUCAAUGAAAGAAUUUGUACCAUUACAGAAGUCUUCUGCACUCACUAAAUGCUGCAGGAUUCUCAUUCAAGUAUUACUUUUACUUACAUUGAAUGUCACUAGCGAUUGUGCGAUGAUGUUCUUGUGCAUUAAAUAUCAUAACCUUGUGUCAUCUGAGUUCAAUACUGCACGGUAUGGAACAAGAUUGAAUUUGGAUGAAUUGAAAAGGAUAAAAAACUACUAAUCUCUUUUUGGAGUUGACGCAUUUGACUGUGAUGAGGUUGCUUUCAACUUAGAUUAUUCAGGGAGGAAAUCGGAGUUGCAUGAUGCUUAUUCCCACUGUUGUACUGAGAUUACCUGACUCACUUCUUAUGAUGAUUUCUUUCUUCAAUGCGCAAACAGAUACAGAAAAUUUGCAUGGUGGACUUCAGUGCUAUCUUAACCACGAUCAAUCCUUAUUGCAAUGUUCGAUGAAUAUACUGACACGGGCAAAGCUCAGAAUGAUAUGCAGGAACAUCUUUUCAGAAGUAAGCAGAAUCAUAA